GACGAACCGUACAAACGUUAUUCGGAAUCACUGGGCUUAAAGGGUGCGUAGGCGGCGUGGUAAGUCAGAUGUGAAAUCCCUCGGCUCAACCGAGGAACUGCGUUUGAUACUGCCGUGCUAGAGGAAGAUAGAGGUGAGCGGAACUUAGGGUGGAGCGGUGAAAUGCGUUGAUAUCCUAAGGAACACCUGUGGCGAAAGCGGCUCACUGGGUCUUUUCUGACGCUGAGGCACGAAAGCUAGGGGAGCAAACGGG
This 253-nucleotide ribosomal RNA is filed under the name uncultured bacterium. RNAcentral's name for it is "partial 16S ribosomal RNA". It matches the Rfam family "Bacterial small subunit ribosomal RNA", at positions 524 to 776 of the family's 1533-position model. The record is from RNAcentral.